ACUCCUACGGGGAGGCAGCAGUGGGGAAUAUUGCACAAUGGGGGAAACCCCUGAUGCAGCCAUGCCGCGUGUGUGAAGAAGGCCUUCGGUUGUAAAGCACUUUCAGUAGGGAGGAAGGUAGUGUAGUUAACACCUGCAUUAUUUGUACGUUACCUACAGAAGAAGCACCGGCUAACUCCGUGCCAGCAGCCGCGGUAAUACGGAGGGUGCGAGCGUUAAUCGGAAUUACUGGGCGUAAAGCGCAUGCAGGCGGCCUGUUAAGUCAGAUGUGAAAGCCCGGGGCUUAACCUCGGAAUUGCAUUUGAAACUGGCAGGCUAGAGUCUUGUAGAGGGGGUUAGAAUUUCAGGUGUAGCGGUGAAAUGCGUAGAGAUCUGAAGGAAUACCAGUGGC
Molecule: ribosomal RNA, 391 nt
Filed under: uncultured bacterium
Lineage: Bacteria
Description: bacterial SSU rRNA
Rfam family: Bacterial small subunit ribosomal RNA
Source: RNAcentral